UUUUGAUAUUAGUAAACAAAAAAAUCACAUAUUUUUGCAUAUUGAACCUUUACCUUUGUGUCAUGGUCCUGGGCCAUGUGGGCCCAGUAUUCUUAGUUUCUUGUAUUUUUGUAUUUCGUUCCUUAUUUAGGUCAUGUUUCCUGAGUUGUCCUGUUAUGUUGUUCCUUAUUUGACUUCCCCUUGUGACUUUUAUCCCCUGUGUGCCCCUCUAUGUAUCUGUGAGCCCUCAUCUCCCCUCGUGUUUCAUUCCAUGUUUCCCCAGCCCACUAUGCCCGUGCUCUCUCUCUCCUCCUGUUUGCACCUCUGUGUACUUCCUGUUUUACUUUGACAGUCUCCCGUCAGUGUUGUUUACUCCUGCCAUGUCUUGUUAUGUUUAUCUGUGUCAGCUGUGUUCCCACCCUCCGUGUUUCCAUGCCUGGUCUGUUGUCUUCCAAGCCAUAGCCUCACCAUCGUUUGUUCCCAGUUCAGGUUUCUGUUUAGCCACGUUAUCCCUGCUGUAUUUGUACACCUUGUUUUCAGCCAUAUUAAAGGCUCACCUUCUGUUAAAGCUCACUCCCGUCUGCUCACUCGUGUACGCACCUGGGUCCAUUACACGCAUUCUCCACUCGGUCCGUCACAGCGGACUGUGACACCUUUGCAUUAAAUUUCAGAUUUCAAUAUAUUGUACUGUGUACAGAAAUAAUAAAUCCAGUCCAUGAACACAGCCAGUCCAAGUGAGGCUAACGGAGGAUAUCGAGUGACAGCUAGCCUGCAAAAAAUAGCUAUGGGUUGCCUUUGCUAGAAACUAAAACCAGUUUAACCUUUUUUUCUUUUCCUUUUUUUUUUUUUUUUUUUGCCUGUCCCGUUUGGCUCUUUUGCCAUCAGAAUUAUUGUCUAAAGGCGAAGAAAGAUGCCCAACGGAUUUACUUUACCAAAUGGACAAUCCCAGCCUUGCUGUAAUGGUCUAUUUGAUUCACCUUUUGUUCUUUAUUUUAUUUUAUUUUAUUUUCGUUUGCUAGGGACAGACUUGACUGGGGAAAAGAAAGGGGAGAAAGAAAAACAGCGGUGAAGAGGCACAAGGGCAAAAAACAAAAACCAACAAAAUAAGCAAACAAAAAAUACAUACCGUAUAUCAAUCAUCUGGAUCACCUGUUG
Molecule: long non-coding RNA, 1134 nt
Organism: Astatotilapia calliptera (eastern happy)
Lineage: Eukaryota; Metazoa; Chordata; Actinopteri; Cichliformes; Cichlidae
Source: Ensembl